RNAcentral lists this long non-coding RNA (1843 nucleotides) under Carassius auratus (goldfish). RNAcentral describes it as "lncRNA (ENSCARG00000037052.1)". The record is from RNAcentral. Lineage: Eukaryota; Metazoa; Chordata; Actinopteri; Cypriniformes; Cyprinidae.
AUGGAUAUGAUGAAAUUUACUCUUUUGGUGUUUCUUUAUCACCAGUUGCUAUGGCAAGGAAACGUCUGGAGUCAGGGUGAGCUGCCAGUUAACACCACGGCGUCAGAGCUUCAGGGGGACGAAUCGGCAGCUAACACCACGGUGCCAGAGCGUCAGGGGGACGAAUCGCCAGCUAACACCACGGCGCCAGAGCGUCAGGGGGACGAAUCGCCAGCUAACACCACGACGCCAGAGCGUCAGUGGGACGAAUCGCCAGCUAACACCACGGUGCCAGAGCGUCAGUGGGACGAAUCGCCAGCUAACACCACGACGCCAGAGCAUCAGUGGGACGAAUCGCCAGCUAACACCACGACGCCAGAGCGUCAGUGGGACGAAUCGCCAGCUAACACCACGACGCCAGAGCAUCAGUGGGACGAAUCGCCAGCUAACACCACGGCGCCAGGGCCUCAGGGGGACGAAUCGCCAGCUAACACCACGGCGCCAGGGCCUCAGGGGGACGAAUCGCCAGCUAACACCACGACGCCAGAGCGUCAGUGGGACGAAUCGCCAGCUAACACCACGGUGCCAGAGCGUCAGUGGGACGAAUCGCCAGCUAACACCACGGCGCCAGGCCUCAGGAGGAUGAGACUGAGACCACUUCUAGUGCCACCACACAGUCUCAGGAGAUGGAGACCACUUCUAGUGCCACCACACAGUCUCAGGAGACUGAGACCACUUCAAACACUACCUAAGCCUUGUUGAAUAGGUUUUUUUUGGUGCUGUCUAGCUGCUUUGUCAAAAGUUUGACUAACAAAAUAAAAGUUUAAUGGUUUGUCUUGUUCAAUGUCUCUUUCCAGAGUUGGAGCUGCUUUUAAUGCCAAUUCUUUCUCUUUGGGGGGGGUCGCUUUAGCAGUUGACCAUUUCUGGUACAUUGCUGUUACCAAUUCUGCCUAAACGUAAUGGGCUCUAAGCAAGGAGAGGUGGUGUAUUUCUGCUCCUGUUAUACUGGCAAGGGCACUUCUGGCUUGUACAGUAAACUAAGAAACCAUCAGUUGUGUGGGAGACACGCCCCCUUACUAAAAGAAAACACUGUAGUUUUAUACAGUGAAGUUGAGGUUAUAUCUUCAUAACAAUGGAAAAAACUUUUACAACGUUAUGAAGGCAUCGUAGGAGCACUGUAUUCUCAUUCUGUGUCUUCACACUACAACUCCUGUGCUAGUUCUCAUUCCUUUCUGGUGAAGGAAGACAUCAGGGGGAAAAAUGGAUUGUAAACCUUAAAAAAAAAAAAUCAACUUCCAAAUGAAACAAGCAAAGGUAACCCCUUGUCCAUUUCUGGUAGCAUUAAUCCGCUGUUUGGUGUCAUGUCUUAACUAUCAGAAUAGACCACUUGUUAAGGCAUGGGCCCAGUGAGUCAGCACAGUGUCAUUGUUGUCUGUGUACGAAGUCUUUAUUUGGCACAUUGAAGUUAAAGAGUUUGGUGAUUUUACAUCCGAGUUAGUUCUGGCUGCAGGUAAAGUUUUAAUCGUUGUUGAUUUUAAUAUCCAUGUUGACAAUGAAAAAGAUGCAUUGGGAUCAGCAUUUAUAGACAUUCUGAACUCUGUUGGGGUUUGACAACACGUAUCAGGACCUACUCCUUGUCGAAAUCAUACUCUAGAUUUAAUACUAGAACUAGAACACCCAUCACCUGCCCUGAAUGCCUCCCCACAAAACCAUUCACACCAUUCACAACUCCUGCAACCAGCCCCAAAUGCCUCUCCAAACAACCGUUCACACCAUUAACAGCUCCUGCAACCCAUCCUGAACACCUCUCCAAUCAAGCACUCUCACCAUUCACACCUCCUGCAUCCCCCCUCUCCCCCACACC